Molecule: long non-coding RNA, 383 nt
Filed under: Capsella rubella
Lineage: Eukaryota; Viridiplantae; Streptophyta; Magnoliopsida; Brassicales; Brassicaceae
Description: long non-coding RNA (CRUB_LNC001039)
Source: RNAcentral
UUUUUUUUUUUUUUUUUUGUCACUCUAAUCCAAACAGUUCUAUUUCUUAUAAUUUCACUUCACGGUUGCUUAGCUGUUACAUAUUCAAUUAUGUAAGUCUAGUUUGUCUUUUUUUUUUUGGGGUAAAAUUAUAUUCAUGGUUGGUCCAUGUAAUAGUAAAAAUAUAUGUUUUUCUUACAUAUUUUGGGAUUAUUUUAUACUUUAGUUCAAGUCUAUCCAAUUACAUAAGAAUUCGAUCCACAAGGGCCUAUCAAUGGAAUGGAUAGCUAUUUGUCCGAUGAUCUCGAGAAAAAGAGAGUGAAAAAAUGUCCACGAAUUGAAUUUUUGUUACAUAAGACAAUUAGGUAACUAAUGUAAUAAACCAACCCAAAAAUAUGUGUUGA